AUUGAACGCUGGCGGAAUGCUUUACACAUGCAAGUCGAACGGCAGCACGGACUUCGGUCUGGUGGCGAGCGGCGAACGGGUGAGUAAUAUAUCGGAACGUAUCCAAUAAUGGGGGAUAACUAGUCGAAAGAUUGGCUAAUACCGCAUACGCCCUACGGGGGAAAGCAGGGGAUCUUCGGACCUUGCGUUAAUGGAGCGGCCGAUAUCUGAUUAGCUAGUUGGUGGGGUAAAGGCCCACCAAGGCGACGAUCAGUAGCUGGUCUGAGAGGACGACCAGCCACACUGGAACUGAGACACGGUCCAGACUCCUACGGGAGGCAGCAGUGGGGAAUUUUGGACAAUGGGCGCAAGCCUGAUCCAGCCAUUCCGCGUGAGUGAAGAAGGCCUUCGGGUUGUAAAGCUCUUUCGCAAGGGAAGAAAACUUAGCCACUAACAUUGGCUGAGGUUGACGGUACCUUGAUGAGAAGCACCGGCUAACUACGUGCCAGCAGCCGCUGUAA
This 500-nucleotide ribosomal RNA is filed under the name uncultured bacterium. Its description in RNAcentral is "partial 16S ribosomal RNA". It matches the Rfam family "Bacterial small subunit ribosomal RNA", at positions 30 to 523 of the family's 1533-position model. The record is from RNAcentral.